CAUGGGUGGCCGCGAACAGCGGUGUUUCGUCGUCGAGUGUCUGGAACUCAAAACGGAUACUCGACUAACCGAACACCGCUAAGACUUCCAGGGCUUCAGAAAUAACUAAGGGAAAUGCACGAAUGGCCUGUCGUUCGGUUGGAUGAAUCCCACGAACUAGGGGAUUCAUCCGGUUACCAACUUCACUGUGGAUGGUUUCGCUUUUCGGGACUUUUGAGGCACGAACGGAGACCAACCGCAGGGCCAGAUCUCAUGGAACUAUUUUCGGCUACUUUACCCAUGCGGUCGGUCAAAACUUUACCUUCUCAUAACUCCCAAACCCCUAGUCUGAUCUGGGUGAUUUUUGGAUAUGUUCUUCACCCAGAUCAGGGCUACCAGGGGGUACCAUAUUUAAAGGUGUACCCCACAUAGUUGGGGUAAAUCCAAGAAUUGGGGAAAAGUGUGCACUGUAUAAUUAUGUUAACUGUUAAUCUAAGGGGAGGAGAUGUGUGGGAGUUAACAUUUAUGGGAUUGGUUACUGUGAUAAUUAUGGUGAGUCCCUCCCAUUGUUGCAAUCGGUUAACAAGUGCCACACGCCUCUAAGUGUGUGGGCUACUACAUGGGGGUAUUUUCGGUUCACGAACGGCCCGCAAAAAUGCCGUUCGUGAAACGAAAGAAAAA
Non-coding RNA from Pelobates cultripes (western spadefoot toad), 660 nucleotides. NCBI's taxonomy places the organism in Eukaryota, Metazoa, Chordata, Amphibia, Anura, Pelobatidae. The record is from the annotation of a GenBank genome assembly.